Molecule: ribosomal RNA, 859 nt
Filed under: Fusarium babinda
Lineage: Eukaryota; Fungi; Ascomycota; Sordariomycetes; Hypocreales; Nectriaceae
Description: partial large subunit ribosomal RNA
Rfam family: Eukaryotic large subunit ribosomal RNA
Source: RNAcentral
AUAAGCGGAGGAAAAGAAACCAACAGGGAUUGCCCUAGUAACGGCGAGUGAAGCGGCAACAGCUCAAAUUUGAAAUCUGGCUCUCGGGCCCGAGUUGUAAUUUGUAGAGGAUACUUUUGAUGCGGUGCCUUCCGAGUUCCCUGGAACGGGACGCCAUAGAGGGUGAGAGCCCCGUCUGGUUGGAUGCCAAAUCUCUGUAAAGUUCCUUCAACGAGUCGAGUAGUUUGGGAAUGCUGCUCUAAAUGGGAGGUAUAUGUCUUCUAAAGCUAAAUACCGGCCAGAGACCGAUAGCGCACAAGUAGAGUGAUCGAAAGAUGAAAAGCACUUUGAAAAGAGAGUUAAAAAGUACGUGAAAUUGUUGAAAGGGAAGCGUUUAUGACCAGACUUGGGCUUGGUUAAUCAUCUGGGGUUCUCCCCAGUGCACUUUUCCAGCUCAGGCCAGCAUCAGUUUUCCCCGGGGGAUAAAGGCGGAGGGAAUGUGGCUCUCUUCGGGGAGUGUUAUAGCCCACCGUGUAAUACCCUGGGGGGGACUGAGGUUCGCGCAUCUGCAAGGAUGCUGGCGUAAUGGUCAUCAACGACCCGUCUUGAAACACGGACCAAGGAGUCGUCUUCGUAUGCGAGUGUUCGGGUGUCAAACCCCUACGCGUAAUUAAAGUGAACGCAGGUGAGAGCUUCGGCGCAUCAUCGACCGAUCCUGAUGUUCUCGGAUGGAUUUGAGUAAGAGCAUACGGGGCCGGACCCGAAAGAAGGUGAACUAUGCCUGUAUAGGGUGAAGCCAGAGGAAACUCUGGUGGAGGCUCGCAGCGGUUCUGACGUGCAAAUCGAUCGUCAAAUAUGGGCAUGGGGGCGAAAGACUAAU